RNAcentral lists this ribosomal RNA (207 nucleotides) under uncultured bacterium. RNAcentral's name for it is "partial 16S ribosomal RNA". It matches the Rfam family "Bacterial small subunit ribosomal RNA", at positions 568 to 774 of the family's 1533-position model. The record is from RNAcentral.
CGCGUAGGCGGCCUACUAAGUCGGACGUGAAAUCCCUCGGCUCAACCGAGGAACUGCGUCCGAUACUGGCAGGCUGGAAUCCGGGAGAGGGAUGUGGAAUUCCAGGUGUAGCGGUGAAAUGCGUAGAUAUCUGGAGGAACACCGGUGGCGAAGGCGGCAUCCUGGACCGGUAUUGACGCUGAGGCGCGAAAGCUAGGGGAGCAAACG